GAGGGUCAUAGUUUUAUUGCUGAGUGUCAGGGAAGGGGCUCAAAUCCGCCCAAUCUCCCUCAGCUUGGCCACCAGGUCCUCCGUGGUCUCCACCUUGACGCCGGCCGUGCGCUGGGGCGGGUCCUCCACACUAACCACGGAGAGCUUGGAGGUAAGGUCCACACCCAGGUCUCCGGGCUUGAUGACCUCAAUCUUCUUUUUCUUGGCUUUCUGCACAUGGGCAGUGACAGUUCACAGGGCUGCUGAAGCCCUGCCCAGCCUCCCACAGCCUCCCACCCACGAGUGCCAUGUCUGCAGAACCAAUCCCAUUGCCCGAACUUUUCUGGACCCCGCUAGCCAGACAGACGUGACCUACUGGGAAGCCCUUCUGCUGAGGGUCCCUGUUUAGUUAGCUGUCUUGAGAAGCCCUUCGCGGGCUGAAAUGGACUCCCAAACUCAACCUUCUAGCUUAAUGAGUCCGGCCCAUCUGACCCACGGAACCCACCCUUCUGAGACGACCCACUGAACUCUCCCUGGUGGCUGAGAUGAUCCACUGAACCCUUCCUAUUGGCUGAGAUGAUGCCCUUCCUAUUGGCUGAGAUGGCACACUAAACUCUCCCUAUUGGCUAAAAUGACCCAAUGAACCCAUCCUACAAGCCAAGAUGAACAGUAAACUCUUCCUUUCCGCAGGGUGAUGAUCCCUUCCUUCAUACAAGAAGUCCCUGGGCGUGCAAUGCACUCAUGCAUCCUUGGGCCCUCGGUGACCCAUCUGCUAAGUGCUCACCAUGAUGUUGGGCAACGUGGCAUAGCGAGGUUCGUUGAGCCGCAGGUCGGCGGUCACCACGGCAGGCAGCUUCAGGCGCAGGGUCUCCAGGCCCCCGUCAAUCUCCCGCUCCACUUUCACCUUGUCCCCUUCCAGUGUCACCUGGGAGGCGAAUGUGCCCUGGGGAGAUGGGAGGGUGGGUGAGGUCAAUUCACGGCAGGCACAGAGCGACGUGAGCACAUGCACAGGUGAGCGAAUGAAUGAGAGAAGAGAGUCCUGCAAGGUAACCUUUAGACAUCAAGUUCACCAACAGGAAGAUGCCACAGAAAGGGAAAAUCUCAAAAAUCUGUACUUUCACUGGCAGCCAACGUGUAGGUCUUAAUGACCUGAACCUGCCAGUUAGGUCCCGACCUAUUAUUAACCUUCCUUAAUAAUGAUGAACACGUAUUGCGUGUAAACAACUUCCGCGCACUAAGUCAUCAGGCCCUCAGGAACUCUAUACGGGAAACGCUAUUAUCCCCACUUUACAGAUGAGGAAAACUGAGGCAGGGCGAGGCUCAAAAAUGUGCUGUCACCCAAGAGCUGGCAGUCUGGCUCUAAGCUCCAUGUCAUGCUCCCACUACCCACCAUUCUGUCCCCAGGAGUUCCCUUCGAGGCCCCUCUGCUGGGGUAACAACAGACUCAUGUGCUCACCUUGACCCUGGAAACAUCUGCUGGGACCCCAUCUUUGCUCAGCGCCCACGCCCACACUCUCGCCAACGCCCCUCUGUGCCUCAGUCCUGAAUCAACAUUUCCUGAUGUACCUACACCCUCUCUGUCUAAUCGGCCCAUUGUCUCCAUUCGCUCACUCACUGGACAAACCUUUCAAGUCUUAGCCGGGACGUUCCGUCACCCCUAGUCUCAUCCGAACACCCCAUGAGCCAGCCCUGGGGAUACACAGUGAACAUGACCAACAAGGCCUGGGCUUUCGGGGGCAUUUAUCCUGGCCGGGAAGACUGCUGGUAACCAAGUGACCGGUAACCAAGUAAUAACGGUAAUCAAGUGGACUCACACGUCUUCUGAGCAUGUGAAAUGUGGCUCGUGUGAUUGAGGGAUGGAAUUUUUCAUCUUUAUUUUUUUUUUAAGUUUGUUCGUUCGCUUGUUUGUUUGUUUGUUUGUUUAGAGAGCAUGUGCGUGCAUGCAUGCAAGCAGGGGAGGGACAGAGAGAGGAGGAGAGAAUCCCUAGCAGGUUGUCAGUGCAGAGCUGGAUGCCGGGCUCGAUCCUACGAACCGACAGAGAUUAGCACCACCCCUGCGCAAGGAUGACACACAAAUUCGUGAAGUGUUCCGUAUGUUUGAUGUAAAUUUUAAAGAAUAAAAAAUAAAAUUAAAAAGAAAAAAAAAUGUGCAGUUUAUUGUAGACCACUUACAUCUCAACAAAGCUAUUUAAAAAAAUCCUCAAUGCGAUCACUGGAAAACUUUGAAGUGUGUUUGGAACAACCUGGGUGUGUGAAUCUACAUUUUCAACUGUGGAUUUUAGGAAUCUAAAUUAAGUAUUUCUGAUGAAAAUUCAGCAUCUGAAUGGAGAUGUGCUGUAGACAUAAAAUCCACCCUGGAGGGGUGCCUGGGUGGUUCAGUCGAGUACUCAUCUGACUCUUGAUUUCAGCUCAGGUCAUAAUCUCGUGGUCUGUGAGUUUGAGCCCCAUGUUGGGUUCUGUGCUGACAGCAGGGAGCCUGCUUGGGAUUCUCUCGCUCUUCCUCUCUCUCUGUCCCUCCUCCACUCUCACUCUCUCUCAAAAUAUAACUAAACUUAAAAAAUAAUAAAAUAAAAUAAAAUAAAAUAAAAUAAAAUAAAAUAAAAUAAAAUAAAAUAAAAUAAUUUAAAAUAAAAUAAAAUACAAUAAAAUAAAAUAAAAUCCACACUGGAUUCUGAAGACGUCAUACAAAAGGAAAAAAGAAUAUGACAGAGCUCAGGAGUUUUUAUAUUGAUUAUAUGUUGGGAUGAUAAUACUUUAGAUGUGUUAGGUUAAAUAAAAUAUUAUUGCAAUUCAUUUUGCCGGAUUCUUUUUACUUUUUUAAUCUGGCUGUGAAAAAUUCUAAAUUACCUAGGUGGCUCGUGUUUCUACUGGACUGGCAGAGGUGGGGAGUGGGGAAUCUGGAACUGAGGAGGGGACAUGAGGAUUUCAUACAGGGUGGGUAAGGAAGGCCUCUCUAAAGAGGUAAUAACUGAGCACAGACCUAAAGGAGAGAGUGGGAAAGGCAUGAGGCAAUCUGAGGGAACCAUGUUCUGGGUUGAGCAAGUGCAAAGGCCCUGAGGCAGGGAUGACGUUGGCGUGUGGUUGGAGAGUGACAGGGCUGAAGACAGAGCACCAAAGGCCUGGAUGAGGCCUGGCGUCCUGGCUGUGCACUCCCCCUUCCUGCCAGCAGGAGUAGCCAUCCUUGCACAUGCCUUCCUCCAGAAAGGCAGGGACAAGGGUGGCCCUGUUCUGAGCCCCCAGGUCUAGCCCCCAGAAGGUACUCCUCACUCCAGCCUCACCUGUGGCCAGUCUAGAAAUCCAGCGGUCAUCUGCCCCGUCUGGUUACAGUCAUCAUCGAUGGCCUGAGUGGAGAAAGAGAGAAGACUGUAUGACAGUGGGUCUUUUCACACACCGUUUGGGCCUUUGUCUAGAUGGGGAUUAGCAAACAUUUUCUCAAUAUCAUGCGGUCUCAGUCACAGCGAUGCAACUCGGCCACGGUGGUACACAAGCAGCCAUAGAUAGAAAUGUGCCUGUAUAAAGCAACAAGCUUGGUGGUUGUUUAUAAAGCUUUAUAAAAUCAGCGGUGACCAUGGGCCAUAGUUUGCUGACUCCUGGACUAGAAUGAUCCCAUCCCUUCACUUGGGCCUGGUGAGAGGCAGUCACCUGUCCCGGGGCACACAAGGACAUCUGGCAUCCCCAGUGCCAAAUCGUUGCCCCCUGUAUAAUUCACAGAAGCCUCCCAUGAGCCAGGACCUGGGCCAGCUGCACUGGGGAACUGAGUGAGUAGGAACUAUCCCCUGACCCUAGUGAUUGGUUCAGGGAUUGGUACUUGACUCAAGCUGGACCCAUGAAGAGUCAGCUCUGGAAGUGUUCCUGAAGCUCUUGGGAAAGAGGCUCUUUUGUUUCUGCUGAGGUUGCUGGGCUCCUGAGAUAUGGGCCUGGAGGUGCAGAAGGUAAAAACAAGAUAGAGGAGUGGAGCGUAGAGCUGACAUGUGAACCUGGAUCAAGCCAUGCCUGAAGCUUGAAUUAUAUGAGCUAACAGGUUCACUUUUUGGCUUCUGCCAGUUUGAUUCUGACCCUGCCACCUAUAAUAAAGACUGUCCUGACCAGUUUAUCCUGUAUCUUCCCAGUUGGAGGCCCUGGUCCCAGAAACUGUUCCUGACAACCAGGACAGGCAGGACAUGAGUCUGAGACCCACCAGAGAACGGAGGGGGCAUCAAGAGGCCAUGAUGCCAGCACCAGUGUCCUGGGGCGCUGGUGAGAGACCUGGGUCCCCAGAGCCCUGAGCCUACCCAGACCGUGCCUUUUUGGCCUGUUCUCUGGUUAGGCCCCCCGCCUCAGCUUACUGACUUCUACUGAUUCCUUUGCUGUUUGUCAUCUCUCGUUUUCCACUGUCUGACUUGGGCGGGACACCCAACAACCUAUAUAGACUCAUCAGCCUCCGCCUCUCCCCAGGGACCGAUCCAGCCUGCUGGGAUCCCGGUCUUUUCCCACCAGGGCCCUGGCUCUACCUCUGAGCCUCCCGUGCGAUCCCAGUGCCCUGUCUGAUCUCUCAGUCUGUCACAUUCUUUCUCAGCCUUCAUCCCUAAGCUCCGCCCCUAGAUCUCUCCCCUCCCGCUGCAGUCGUCUGGGUCUCUUCUGAAGAUCCUCUGCCCCUCCCUGGGUGAGGCCACAAUGUCUAUCUCAAAUGGGAGGGUGUGGGCAGGCUACCCAAAGGAAGGCUGUCGCCUGCCCGGCCUCCAGAGGGAACAGCUGAGCCAGACACACACCCAGCCCAGGUGGGGGUGCCAGGUGGUAGGUAGCGUUCCAGCUCAAUGUUAGCCCCCAAGCUCCUCCCCAAGCCCCUGGCCUCCAGUCUCUCCCCUUCCAGCCUAUUCCUCACAGCCUCAGUUCUUCCACAACUUUCCUCUCUGUCCCUCCCAGCCAGACCCCAGCACCACCUUCACCUCCUCUCCGCCUCCCCUCACUCCCCGCAGCUCAAGCGCUGCCCCUCCGGCCACAGGUCUCUCUGCUCUGUCCCAUCAAGCCUCUCUUUCCCCCACCCAGACCAUCGCCACAGCCCCCAGGGCUCCCACUUUACCCCAUAGGACCCCCCCCCCCCCCCCCCCCCCCCCCCCCCCACCACCCGUCACCCUGCCCACCCUGCUCAAACUCUCCACCCAGCCUGGGGCCCCUGAAGCCUCAGCUCCUGCCCACCCCGCCGCCAGUCCUGAGCAGGGAUGGGGACGGGGGGGGGGGAUGGGCACACUUACCUGCUUGCCCAGCAGCACCAGGUCUACCUUCUCCUUCUCUGCCAGCUUGGCCAGGACCCGGGCCACCUGCAGGGGACCCAGGCGAUCUGCCUCUGCAGCUGGCACCUCCACGUGGAUGCCUCGGUCUGCGCCCAUGGCCAGAGCAGUGCGGAUGGUCUCCUG
RNAcentral lists this long non-coding RNA (5372 nucleotides) under Lynx pardinus (Iberian lynx). Lineage: Eukaryota; Metazoa; Chordata; Mammalia; Carnivora; Felidae. The record is from RNAcentral.